This 1293-nucleotide long non-coding RNA is filed under the name Sparus aurata (gilthead seabream). RNAcentral's name for it is "lncRNA (ENSSAUG00010003712.1)". The record is from RNAcentral. Lineage: Eukaryota; Metazoa; Chordata; Actinopteri; Spariformes; Sparidae.
GUAAAACUGUUAAGUACUUCUAUUUGUGUACUUCCAUCUGAUGACCCUCUGAUAUUUACUUCACCACAUUUCUCUUCUCAAACAAUUGACAUCGUGUGUUGGGACUGUAACUGCAGAAAAGUAUCCAAGUACUUCUUCCAACACUGUCUACAUUACUGUGUGUCUACAUUACUGUGUGUCUACAUUACUCUGUGUCUACAUUACUGUGUGUCUACAUUACUCUGUGUCUACAUUACUCUGUGUCUACAUUACUGUGUGUCUACAUUACUCUGUGUCUACAUUACUCUGUGUCUACAUUACUGUGUGUCUACAUUACUGUGUGUCUACAUUACUCUGUGUCUACAUUACUCUGUGUCUACAUUACUCUGUGUCUACAUUACUGUGUGUCUACAUUACUCUGUGUCUACAUUACUCUGUGUCUGCAUUACUGUGUGUCUACAUUACUCUGUGUCUACAUUACUGUGUCUACAUCACUCUGUGUCUACAUUACUCUGUGUCUACAUCAUUGUGUGUCUACAUUACUCUGUGUCUACAUUACUCUGUGUCUACAUUACUGUGUGUCUACAUUACUCUGUGUCUACAUUACUCUGUGUCUACAUUACUCUGUGUCUACAUUACUCUGUGUCUACAUUACUGUGUGUCUACAUUACUGUGUGUCUACAUUACUCUGUGUCUACAUUACUCUGUGUCUACAUUACUGUGUGUCUACAUUACUCUGUGUCUACAUUACUCUGUGUCUACAUUACUCUGUGUCUACAUCAUUGUGUGUCUACAUUACUCUGUGUCUACAUUACUCUGUGUCUGCAUUACUGUGUGUCUACAUUACUCUGUGUCUACAUUACUGUGUCUACAUCACUCUGUGUCUACAUUACUCUGUGUCUACAUCAUUGUGUGUCUACAUUACUCUGUGUCUACAUUACUCUGUGUCUACAUUACUGUGUGUCUACAUUACUCUGUGUCUACAUUACUCUGUGUCUACAUUACUCUGUGUCUACAUUACUCUGUGUCUACAUUACUGUGUGUCUACAUUACUGUGUGUCUACAUUACUCUGUGUCUACAUUACUCUGUGUCUACAUUACUGUGUGUCUACAUUACUCUGUGUCUACAUUACUCUGUGUCUACAUUACUGUGUGUCUACAUUACUGUGUGUCUACAUUACUCUGUGUCUACAUUACUCUGUGUCUACAUUACUGUGUCUACAUUACUCUGUGUCUACAUUACUGUGUCUACAUUACUGUGUCUACAUUACUCUGUGUCUACAUUACUCUGUGAGCAGCAUGAAGGUUUUGUGA